GACGAACGCUGGCGGCGUGCCUAAUACAUGCAAGUCGAACGCAGUGGGGACGGUUGAGUAACACGUGGGUAACCUCCCAUCAGAGGGGAUAACCCUUGGAAACAGGUGCUAAACCGCUACUGGUUGAUUGACCCGCGGUGCAUUAGCUAGUUGGUGGGGUAACGGCUCACCAAGGCCACGAUGCAUAGCCGACUCGAGAGGGUGAUCGGCCACACGGUGACUGAGACACGGCCCAGACUCCUACGGGAGGCAGCAGUAGGGAAUAUUCGGCAAUGGACGAAAGUCUGACCGAGCAACGCCGCGUGAUUGAAGAAGGUCUUCGGAGCGUAAAACUCUGUUGUUAGAGAAGCGGUAUCUAACCAGAAAGCCACGGCUAACUACGUGCCAGCAGCCGCGGUAAUAC
Molecule: ribosomal RNA, 403 nt
Filed under: uncultured bacterium
Lineage: Bacteria
Description: partial 16S ribosomal RNA
Rfam family: Bacterial small subunit ribosomal RNA
Source: RNAcentral